GACGGAGGGUGCAAGCGUUGUUCGGAAUCACUGGGCGUAAAGCGCGUGUAGGCGGCCCGAUUAGUCGAGUGUGAAAGCCCGAGGCUCAACCUCGGAAGCGCACUCGAAACUGUCAGGCUUGAGUACGGGAGAGGGAAGUGGAAUUCCUGGUGUAGAGGUGAAAUUCGUAGAUAUCAGGAGGAACACCGGUGGCGAAGGCGGCUUCCUGGACCGAUACUGACGCUGAGACGCGAAAGCGUGGGGAGCAAACAGG
Molecule: ribosomal RNA, 253 nt
Filed under: uncultured bacterium
Lineage: Bacteria
Description: partial 16S ribosomal RNA
Rfam family: Bacterial small subunit ribosomal RNA
Source: RNAcentral